GAUGAACGCUGGCGGCGUGCCUAAUACAUGCAAGUCGAGCGAACGGACGAGAAGCUUGCUUCUCUGAUGUUAGCGGCGGACGGGUGAGUAACACGUGGAUAACCUACCUAUAAGACUGGGAUAACUUCGGGAAACCGGAGCUAAUACCGGAUAAUAUUUUGAACCGCAUGGUUCAAAAGUGAAAGACGGUCUUGCUGUCACUUAUAGAUGGAUCCGCGCUGCAUUAGCUAGUUGGUAAGGUAACGGCUUACCAAGGCAACGAGGCAUAGCCGACCUGAGAGGGUGAUCGGCCACACUGGAACUGAGACACGGUCCAGACUCCUACGGGAGGCAGCAGUCGGGAAUGUGACGCAGUGGGGGAAAGCCUGACGGAGCAACGCCGCGUGAGUGAUGAAGGUCUUCGGAUCGUAAAACUCUGUUAUUAGGGAAGAACAUAUGUGUAAGUAACUGUGCACAUCUUGACGGUACCUAAUCAGAAAGCCACGGCUAACUACGUG
This 497-nucleotide ribosomal RNA is filed under the name uncultured bacterium. Its description in RNAcentral is "partial 16S ribosomal RNA". It matches the Rfam family "Bacterial small subunit ribosomal RNA", at positions 28 to 507 of the family's 1533-position model. The record is from RNAcentral.